Molecule: ribosomal RNA, 254 nt
Filed under: uncultured bacterium
Lineage: Bacteria
Description: partial 16S ribosomal RNA
Rfam family: Bacterial small subunit ribosomal RNA
Source: RNAcentral
UACGUAGGGUGCGAGCGUUGUCCGGAAUUAUUGGGCGUAAAGAGCUCGUAGGCGGUGUGUCACGUCGGCCGUGAAAACCUGCAGCUUAACUGUGGGCGUGCGGUCGAUACGGGCAUCACUGGAGUUCGGCAGGGGGGACUGGAAUUCCUGGUGUAGCGGUGAAAUGCGCAGAUAUCAGGAGGAACACCGGUGGCGAAGGCGGGUCUCUGGGCCGAUACUGACGCUGAGGCGCGAAAGCCAGGGGAGCAAACGGG